This 361-nucleotide ribosomal RNA is filed under the name Staphylococcus sp. AI-11. RNAcentral's name for it is "bacterial SSU rRNA". It matches the Rfam family "Bacterial small subunit ribosomal RNA", at positions 66 to 416 of the family's 1533-position model. The record is from RNAcentral. Lineage: Bacteria; Bacillati; Bacillota; Bacilli; Caryophanales; Staphylococcaceae.
GCGAACGGUAGAGCAGCUUGCUUCUCUGAUGUUAGCGGCGGACGGGUGAGUAACACGUGGAUAACCUACCUAUAAGACUGGGAUAACUUCGGGAAACCGGUGCUAAUACCGGAUAAUAUUUUGAACCGCAUGGUUCAAAAGUGAAAGACGGUCUUGCUGUCACUUAUAGAUGGAUCCGCGCUGCAUUAGCUAGUUGGUAAGGUAACGGCUUACCAAGGCAACGAUGCAUAGCCGACCUGAGAGGGUGAUCGGCCACACUGGAACUGAGACACGGUCCAUACUCCUACGGGAGGCACCAGUAGGGAAUCUUCCUCAAUGGGCGAAAGCCUGACGGAGCAACGCCGCGUGAGUGAUGAAGGGC